GAGAGGCCAUCAUUGGCAACAAUAGUUCUCAUGCUCAAUAGUUACUCUGUCACACUUCCGUCGCCUCAACAGCCUGCAUUUUUCAUAGGCAGUCGAACUGAGAGGAGCUUGCCCACAAAAGAAUUUGAGUUCUCUGAUAAAUCUACAAGCAAGUCGAUGCCAUGGUCUGUUGAUGAAGCAUCAAUUACUGAAGUAUACCCCCGUUAACUUGUAAAAAUUGUUGACGAUGCUUCUUCUUUAUGUUAGUAUAUGUUCUCCCCAAGGGGAGUGCUGGUACAUUACGAGGGAGAAUGACAUGGUUUAUGACAAGCAAUAAUGAUAAAGAGGAGGCGCCCUUCAAAUUGAAUGGCGCCGCGUUACAUUUUCCAAAGUUUUUAUUUGUUGAAGUAUAUGAUUAUUGUAUGGAUGAGUAACGAUGCAACGUUGGGAAAUCAAAUAUUCCAUUACGGUGUCGUUUGCGUUUAGUGUCGUCCGGUUAGUGUUUGCUGGGUCCGGACUCCGGAGCCCAAUUUUCCAUUACGAUGUAGUUUGUGUUCUAUGCCGUAAGCAUCCAGUUCUGUCUGAGUCUUCAAUUUUUUCUUUUUCCCCUGAAAAUUGUCUCAAUCUAUUUAAUUUAGUGAAAAUUUCAACAAAAUUUGACUGAGAUUUUCCGUCUUUCGUGCUUGACUUCCCUUUUAUUGACUUUGCGUGGACAGGUCUCCUCUGCAAUAAUCAACUUCCGCAUCUUCACCACGCGUUUCAACUUUCAAACAAAGUUGUUUGAUCAAUCUCAUCGCCAUUCACCAACAAUAAUACUUAAUAAAUGAACAGAGAAAUUAAAAGCAAUAAAAAAUAAAAAAAGAGGAAGAUAGACGAUCAUCACAUAUGUAUAUCCGUAGUACUAAGAACUAUUUAUUGUAUUCAUUCCCGGGUGAGGUCAGCCUGAGGCUGAAAGCGAGAAUCCAAAUGCGUUCCUUCAAAUUAUUCAUUUUCUUUCCGUUUCUGUCUUUUGUAAGCAUUUUUCUCAGAUUCACAACUGCAGCUGACCCAGAAUACCUCGCUCAUAAUUGCCCAAAUACAACAACUUUCAGCAGGAACAGGACUUCUCAAUCCAACCUCCACCUUUUCUUCUCUUCUCUGCCCACUAACGCCAGCCGCAGCAACGGAUUCUUCAGCCGUUUCUACAACGCCACAGCAGGCCAAGACUCUGACAGAGUCUACGGCCUCUUCCUCGGCCGUGGCGAUCUUGGCAGCAGCGCCUGCCAAGGCUGUCUCGCUUUUGCUGCCAGAAAUGUUAAUAUCAAAAUUUCCUUCUUCCUUAUGUUGCAAAGUCCCUAAAUAUCAACUCUUCUAACAUAUAACCCCUUUUUGUUUUGUUUUGUCCAAUUUCAUUCAUUUACUAUGGCAAAUCGAUAAAUUUGCCACCUAAUUUAUAUCGAAAGUUCAAUUUGAUACCAAAGAAUUUUGAUAAUAGCUCUCUGUACCACCGAACCUUUUUUUUAUGUUAACAUCGUUAGGCAAAGGUUGAUGUCGCAGGGGCAAUUUCGGUAUUUCAAAAUUUGGUUUCAUCUGGUAAAAAGGGACGCCUCUUUAUAAAUCAAAACGGUCAAUGAUGGUGAGUCAAAAAAAGAAAAAAGGGCCAAUGAUGGUUUGAUAUAAAAUGAAAAAGUUGAGUGCUACAGAGAAAUUGAUAAUUUCCUAAUCAGAAAAUACAUAUGUAAUUACUAUUAUUAAAUUUAACAUUGUAGUUGAUAUGUAUUUUGAGAAACAAACUUCAUUCUAAUUGUUCUUUUAACAUUCAUAUUCAUAUCGAUAAAGAAAAAACUAUAUCUAUAUCAAUUUUAAUAAAUGUUAAAAGAACAAUUAAGAUGGAAUUAGUUUCUUAAAAUAAUUAUUUUUUUGAAAUUUAAUUGUAAUUGAUAUGUAUUUAUUAAAAUUGGUAUAAAUAUAAUUGUUAAAAGAACAAUUAAGAUGAUUUUUUUUUUAAAUAAAAAUUUUCAGAAUUUUUAAAAUUAAUAAUAUUAAAAUUUAGCAGCGGAUCAAUGGGUGACACAUGUCUGCCCCUAUUGAAUGUUAAAUUAACUUUAAUAAAUAUAUAUUCAUAUUUAAAGACUUUAACUAAUAACAUAAAUAAAAUUAUAUGAAAACUUAAUCGUAUAAUUUCAUAUUGGGCGUAGUAGGGGCAAUUUCAUAUAUAACUAUUUUUGUUACUUUUUUUCCAUGUAAGUGGAUAAAUUGUCCUUAUAUAUAUUUAAAUAAUUCCUAUAAUAAAAUUGUCCUAUGUAAAGUAUAUGUAAACUAUUUUAUCACUUUUUAAGUGGUAAUUUGAUAUAACAAUUUGGGUGUUGGAGUACGUUUUUGUAGGUACCCCGCAUCAUUAAAGCUUAUCCAAUGAGGAAAGAAGAUAAUUUUUGUUGUGAAGGAAAAAGUCCACUUUCACAAAUGCAUUUUCAAAUUUAUCAAAAGCUAAUCAUUCAUAUAUAUUCUAAAGCAAAUAACACAAAUCAUUUGAAAAUAUCAAAGACAUGCUUAAUAUUUUGGAGCAACUUAAUUAUUGAAAUUGGAAGAGAGAGUGAUUCUGGGGUUUUCACUUUUCAUCCACCUCUCUAUAGGUGAAAAUCGCGCAACUCAAAUGUUUAUUUGUCCUUCAAACUAAUUUCACAGUGGCUCUUGUGAGUUGUGAUAGGAUAAGUGGCGUUCAAAUAGCUGUACUCUUUCAGUUUGCAAGUGUACCCAUCAUUUAAGCCCAGCCCGGCCCAUUUAUACCCAACAUAAUGGGCUGCUUAUGAAAUACUCUCCUAUAAUUCUGUUGAAGUAAGAACCCCAUCAUUGUUUUCUGAACCUCGUUUCCUGCAAAAAUCAAUUACGCAAACAAUGCCAUUAAAAUAGUAGCAAUAAACUUUUCAAAGAAUGUACACGGGAAUCGGACUAGAUCAUGACAUUGUAGUGAAACAUGCGAUUUGGCUAAUUGGCUUCAAGAAGAUACGAAACGAUGACUUUUAAACUCUUCAAUUUGAAGAAUUUUCAAAUAAUAUUUGAAAGGUAUAAUAUUUAAUUAAUACAUAUAUAACAUGUAUAAUUUACUUAAAUAUAAUUUUCAAUUAUAUAAUAAUAUCCGUUCAUCAUUGUCUCCUUUUAUAUGUAGUACCGAACAAGUUAAGGAAGUCAUGUUCAUGCCCAACCUAGUUUUGAUCCAUCAGCAUUUUACGCAUAAUUAAAGGACAAAAUACUCCCUGGAAAAUAUAUUCAUAAUAGACAGCUAACAUGAGACUUGGCUAUGUUGCAAUUGUAGUAUCAUACUAUAGUUGCAAUCAGUCAUUGGAUCCACUUAAAUCUACUAUUGUACCAUUCAUCUAAGUGAAUUUAAUAGAUGGUUGUAACUGUGGCACGGUACCACAAUUACAAUAUAAUCAAACCCGCUAACAUGUAUCUCUGACGUCACGAAUUGACUUCUGUCUUGAUCAAUUUAAUGUUUUUUUUUUUCCUUCAACUAACUUUCCACAAAUUCUUCAAUCACAAAAAAAUAAAAAUAAAAUAAGAGUUCCAGAAUUUCAUUUGAUUGAGGCUUUGCGACUUUUUUUCUCCGGGUGAUUGGAAGCAAAACAAGUAAUUAAUUGGAACGGGACGAGCUUGACUUCACUUAGUUGACUUUGUGCAGACGAGUCCCGUUUCCGACGCAACUUUUGCAGCUUCCACUACUCGUUUCUUCAUUAUAUUUGAUAAAAUCUCGUCUCCAUAAUUAAUAAAAUAAAAGGUAGAAUAAAAAGCAAUAAAGAGGAAGAAGAGAUAGAGGAUUGUAUUUGUAAUCCACAGUACGCAACAAAAACCUGAGAUUCCAAAUGCCGCCCUUGAAAUUCUUCAUGGUCUUUUCGUUUCUCAUAUAUCUUUUAAGCUUCCAGUUCAGUUUUACAGCUGCAGUUGUCCCAAUAUACGCUACUCAUGUUUGCUCAACAACAGCAAAUUUCACCAGAAACAGCACCUAUGAAAAAAGCCUCAAUCUUUUCCUCUCUUCUAUUCCGACUAACGCCAGCCGCGGAAAUGGAUUCUCCAGCGGAUUCUUCAACGCUACAGCCGGUCAAGACCCAAACAGGGUCUAUGGCCUCUUUCUCUGCCGCGGGGAUCAAACUACCAGCGGUUGUCAAGACUGUGUCACCUACGCUACAAGAAAUGUACUUCAGCUUUGCCCAGUCAGCAAACAAACAACACUAUGGUACGCUGAGUGCCUUUUACGUUACUCAGAUCAGUCUUUCUUUUCUACCAUGGCCGCAGCUCCCACUGUCUCUUUGUUGAAUACAGAAAAUGUUACGGACCAAGGCAGGUUUAACGAGCUAGUGGGGACUCAGAUGAGCCAAGCUGUAACUCAGGCUGUGAAUAAUACCAAAAGGUUUGCAACGAGAAAAGCAAAUUUCACAGCCUCUCAAACACUCUACAGUCUUGCACAAUGUACACCGGACCUGUCAAGUUCGGCUUGUAACAGAUGUCUUCGAGAAGCCAUCGCACGGUUGCCAAUUUGUUGCAGUGGAAAGCAAGGAGGAAGAGUGUUGACUCCGAGUUGUAAUGUAUGGUAUGAAUUGUACCCUUUUUACAAUGAAUCAGCCACAGCGCCGCCAGCACCUGCUCCGGUUCUUCUUUCUCCUCCACCUCCUGGUUCGGUAACGACGUCUCGAGGUAAAUGUGAACCCACUUUUUAUUGCCAUUUUCAUUAUUUUAAGUUUUAUAUGCUUUAUCGUUUUCUUUUGAGGGGUCUGUCAAUGAUACAUCUGGAAGUUAUGAUUUUAAGUGAAAGGCAACCAGAUUUUAGGCUCCUUUUGGUAUUAAGCUACAGUUAAAGUGUUUGAUGAAUACUUUAUGUGGUGAUUUUGAAUUCAAGUUAAUUUUAUUCUACACUUAUCUUAUUUAAAAUUUAUACAUAUUACUAUACUUUUAACUUUUAUUUUAUAAAAGCCACUAAACUUUAGUCUUCACAAUUGUGAGGUCAUGAGUUCGAAUCCCUACAACGCAUUGUGGGGGUUUAAUUUCUUUCCUCAAAUUUGAGUGAAGGUAGAGUGGAGUAGACGUCCCUCGAAUAUCAGAGAGGGUAAAAAUUUAGGCAUGCUUCAUAAGAAUCGAUGUAAACUAGUCCCAGUAAUAAUCUGAUUUGUAAAUACAAUCAGUUGUAAUAUCAUGUAAUAUGAGUUGUACGCCGGAUCAAUAGUUUCAUGUAAUAAAAAAAAAAUUAUUUUAUAAUUAUAAUUUUUUUCCACUGUAACUCACUACUAAAUAGGGAGGACCUUAAAAAGUUGGAUUGAUAUUGAUUCAUAAUAUACGUGAUUGAUGAUUUUAACCAUUUAAAACAAUGUUUGUUCUAGUUUGUUCUAGAUAUUUAACAUUCAAUAUGAUAUUUCACAUUGAUGAAUUUCUAGGAUGCCUAAUGAAACAUAUUGUUUUUCCCUGCAGGGAAAAGCGGAAUCUCAUCAUCAACAAUUAUUGCCAUUGUUGCUCCAAUUGUUGUCACUGCAGUGCUUUUCAUUGUGGGCUUCUGCUUCCUAAGAAGGAAAGCAAAAAAGAAGUAUAAUGCUGUACCGGAAGGUAAUGGUAAGCACAAGAGCUACUUUAUUACCAAAUCAAUAGUUGUAACUUUUAACAAGAGUAUGUACGCAUACAAUUGUUGUAACUUUUUUGUGAGACUGAUUUAAUUACUUUUUGUUUGUGCAGCUGAUAACGAUCUUACAACUCUAGAAUCCUUGCAAUUUGAUUUCGAGGCAAUUAAAGUUGCCACAAACAAAUUCUCAACUGACAACAAGUUGGGUGCAGGUGGAUUUGGUGAGGUUUAUAAGGUAUACCAUUCAUUAUCAUGACAUCUCUGAAAGUUUUUAGCAGUUGCAAGACACGUCACAAAUUUUCUAAUUGUUGAUUAAUGUAUCUUUGCAGGGUGUACUUCCUAGCGGGCGAGAAAUAGCUGUGAAAAGGCUAUCAAAAAGCUCUGGACAGGGUGCAGAAGAAUUUAAGAAUGAGGUCGUUGUGGUUGCCAAGCUUCAACACAGAAAUCUGGUUAGGCUACUGGGAUUUUGCUUGGAGGGUGUAGAAAAGCUACUCAUAUACGAAUUUGUGCCAAACAAAAGCCUUGACUAUUUUCUUUUUGGUUAGGAUCAUUUACAUAAAUUUCAAUGUCUUAAGAGAGUUUAAUAUUCAAGAUUUUUUAAUAGAUUAUUUGAGUUUUUAUCCAUCUUUUCAGGACGGACAGAAUUUCUAGAUUGCAUUUAAAUUCAAUUUCCAAAUUUCAAUUUGAAGUAUUGAUUUUGAUAUGUGCACAGACCCUGAAAAACAAGGACAAUUGGAUUGGUCAAGGCGCUACAAGAUAAUUGGACUGAUUGCUCGAGGAAUUCUUUAUCUUCACGAAGAUUCUCGACUCAGAAUUAUACAUCGUGACCUGAAAGUUAGCAAUAUACUCUUAGACGCAGAGAUGAAUCCAAAAAUUUCAGACUUUGGCAUGGCAAAGAUAUUUGGAGUUGAUCAAACUCAAGGAAAUACUAGCAGAAUAGCUGGGACAUAGUAAGUAUAGACAACCAUUCCCCUUUUUUACAUACUCUCCAUUUGAUUAGUUUACAAUUUAUGCAUUAUAUCCCCUAGGAGAACCAUUUAGUCUGGGUUAUAAAUAAAUUGUAUAGAGUUAUUUGAAUAAUUUCAAAAGAUUUGUUGUUGUCUUUAGACCGACUUAGUUGCUGGUUUACAGUGGUUACAUGGCCCCAGAAUAUGCUAUGCAUGGGCAAUUUUCUGUGAAAUCAGAUGUAUAUAGUUUUGGUGUCCUAGUUCUGGAGAUUAUAACCGGGAAGAAGAACAGCAGCUUUUAUCAAACAGAUGGUGCUAGACAUCUUUUGAGCUAUGUAAGCAUUUCCCUUUAUUAGUGCCUAUAUCAUCACUCACAAGUAAAAGCACCAAAAAAGAGGUAGAAGCUGCAACCUUUUUUAAUAUCCCUCAUAUACUGUUUGCAGGCUUGGAAACAAUGGAGGGAUGGAACUCCUUUGCAGUUGUUGGAUCCAAAUCUGACAGAUACUUACUCAAGAAAUGAAGUAAUUAGAUGCAUCCAUUUGGGCUUAUUAUGUGUCCAGGAAGAUCCAGCUGAAAGGCCAUCAAUGGCAACAAUAGUUCUCAUGCUCAAUAGUUACUCUGUCAUACUUCCAUCGCCUCAACAGCCUGCAUUUUUCAUAGGCAGUCGAACUGAGAGGAGCUUGCCCACAAAAGAAAUUGAGUUCUCUGAUAAAUCUACAAACAAGUCGAUGCCAUGGUCUGUUGAUGAAGCAUCAAUUACUGAAGUAUACCCCCGUUAACCCGUAAGAACUGUUAACAAUGCUUCUUCUUUGGAUUGUAUAUGGUCUACCCAUGGGCAGGGCUAGUACAGUGUGGGGGAGAAUAACAUGGCUUAUGACAAGCAAUAAUGA
This 7397-nucleotide long non-coding RNA is filed under the name Citrus maxima (pomelo). Its description in RNAcentral is "long non-coding RNA (CMAX_LNC001071)". The record is from RNAcentral. Lineage: Eukaryota; Viridiplantae; Streptophyta; Magnoliopsida; Sapindales; Rutaceae.